CUGCCGUGGCCCCAGGGACCAGCACGCGCACGCCAGGGCCGCGAUCCCGCUGGUCACCCCGGGGCUGUUGACAAUUGAAUAAACACGCCAAAGCCCUGGGAUCUGUCAGUGGCUGAGGCCGCCA
This 124-nucleotide long non-coding RNA is filed under the name Peromyscus maniculatus bairdii (prairie deer mouse). Its description in RNAcentral is "WT1 antisense RNA conserved region 6 (ENSPEMG00000005502.2)". It matches the Rfam family "WT1 antisense RNA conserved region 6". The record is from RNAcentral. Lineage: Eukaryota; Metazoa; Chordata; Mammalia; Rodentia; Cricetidae.